This 134-nucleotide ribosomal RNA is filed under the name Cellulosilyticum sp. RNAcentral's name for it is "partial 23S ribosomal RNA". It matches the Rfam family "Bacterial large subunit ribosomal RNA", at positions 2790 to 2925 of the family's 2925-position model. Lineage: Bacteria; Bacillati; Bacillota; Clostridia; Lachnospirales; Cellulosilyticaceae. The record is from RNAcentral.
AAGCAGACCACAAGAUAAGAUUUCCCAUCCGAAAGGAGUAAGACCCCUUAGAGACUAUGAGGUUGAUAGGUUGGAGCUGUAAGUGUAGUAAUACAUUCAGGUGACCAAUACUAACGGUUCGAGGGUUUGACCUA